UAACACGUGAGCAACCUGCCUUUCAGAGGGGGAUAACAGUUGGAAACGACUGCUAAUACCGCAUAACGCUGCGAUGGGGCAUCCCGAUGCAGCCAAAGGAGCAAUCCGCUGAAAGAUGGGCUCGCGGCCGAUUAGCUAGUUGGUGGGGCAACGGCCCACCAAGGCGACGAUCGGUAGCCGGACUGAGAGGUCGAUCGGCCACAUUGGGACUGAGACACGGCCCAGACUCCUACGGGAGGCAGCAG
RNAcentral lists this ribosomal RNA (245 nucleotides) under uncultured bacterium. RNAcentral describes it as "partial 16S ribosomal RNA". It matches the Rfam family "Bacterial small subunit ribosomal RNA", at positions 111 to 354 of the family's 1533-position model. The record is from RNAcentral.